AAAUGUUCUCACUUAAAUUGGGGCAGUAUAUAUUAAAAAUGUCUGAAAAGCGGAUUUGGUGGCCUUAAUAGGGACGUUUACCCUAAAGGUCGUUUAAGUAGAUAAGUGAAAUUUCAAAAGUGGCUAUAGAAAAUGGGCAGGAUGCGAAUUGACUUGAGAAAGGGGGAUUUGAAAAACUUGCAGGUCUCUGCAGGUUCUGGAUCGAGGAUACAUCGCAUUAAAAGAUGAUGUCCGCACAUUGCUCAAUGCUCCCAAGAAAAUGUGUCAUCCCAGCCAGGGAUGCUACUGCACAUGUAUUAAUAAUGCAUGAAGUCAGUGAGUCAUUUAUUAUAUGUAUGCACAUAGCCUACCGCUAGAAAAAACAUGAAAUUUGUCACCCUUAUCCAUGUAAACCUAUUUACAAUGUGAGCGAUAACGUAUAAAUUGCCCAGCUUGUCUGCUUAUUCAUACCGCAUUUUGUAGAAGGCCUAAUGUUUUUAACAAUAGGUAGCGUUUAGCCUAGUAGCCUAACUUGACUAGUUACACGAAGUGCUGUCCCGAGCGGGAGUGAAUUUGACGGGGAACGUGCAUUUUUACCUUCAAUCUCUACCUUCAAAAAAAACUAUUUGCUUUACCCCAGAUAUAAUGGCACACGUGUCGUCCAAAAAGUUCCAAUUUGACUCUUCUGUCCAUAGAACAUUAUCCCAAAAUUCCUGGGGACCAUGCAGGUUCUUUCUUUUGCAAAUAUGAGAUAAGCAUUGAUAUUUCUCUUGGUUAGCAGUGGUUUCCACCUUGUUGCUUUCCCAUGAAUUCCAUUUUAACCGAGUCUCUUUCUUAUUGUGGAGUCGUGAACACUGAUCGAAGCUGAGAGGAGUUCUUUGGAUGUUCUUCUGGGAUCUUUUCUAACUUCCUGGAUGAGUUUUCCUUGGAGAAAUUUUGGCAGACUGGCCACUCAUGGGAAGAUUCACCACUGUUCCAAGUGUUCCCCAUUUGGUGAUAGUGGCUUACCAGACUGAUCCCAGCUGGCAGUAUCUCCAGUCUACUCUGUCCGCAUAUUUGUGAGCUUUGGCCACUCCCUCACUCUUCCCUGCCAUGGAGCCCCCAGCAGGGAUGUGGAGUGGCGGUUUCAGCAGGAUGAGCUUCCUGACUGGCUGCAUGUGGCCGAACUCUACACCGGAGCCUUUUCUUCUGGAAACGGCUUCCGGGGACGCGUGGAAUCCUUAUACCUAACAGAGCCGGGAAACUACAGCCUCACCCUCAGUCCCGUGGUGUACAGUGACCUCGGCAUUUACAAAUGCCAGUACAAGGAUGAGACUGAGAUCCCUCUUUCAGAUGUGAAACUAGAAAUUAGAGUCCCAUCACAUGUUUCCAUAGCGAUGGGAAUGUCCGCCAGUCUUCCUUGCUUUGGGAAAAUUAACACACAAGCACGUGCUUAUGAUCUGGAUAUCCUCUGGAAGAGAGGCGGAGAGAACGUUUACCAGCUCCAUAAGAACAUCAUCACAUAUGGGCCCAGGUUCAAGAACAGAACUUCAGUUUCCCCAGAACAAGCCCUCUAUGGAAACAUGUCUUUAACCAUCAGACAGGCACGGUUUUCUGAUGAAGGCGACUACCAGUGCUUCUACAGUAGUCCAAAAGAGAGUGGGAAUCCAGAUUCUGCCAGUCUCUUUGUUACAGGCCACCCAACCCAGAACCUCACAGUGAAGGCCGGUGUUUUGCUCUCCAUACCGCUCUAUACCGCAGACCCAGUGAGGGUAACAUACAGUGCAGGCCUUGGUUCAGAUGAGGUGCUGAUAUUCAAUGCAAAUAAAGGCCCAGCCAGGUAUGAGGAGCGUUGUGCUCAGAGAUGUGAGCUUCUGGCCCAGAACUACACCCUUUUGCUGAGGGGUGUGACACUGGAGGAUGCCGGAGUCUACAAGGUGACCGAUCCCGAGACUAAGAAGACUAUCGGCUCAGUCUCUCUGCACGUCUCAGCCCCUCCUCUCUCUGCUGGAGCAGUGGCUGGGAUAGUGCUGGGAGUGCUGGUGGUGCUGCUGCUGGUGUUGGGGGCCUUUGCUUUCUGGAAGUACCACAAAGAACAAAAGCAAGCAGAGCCUGUAGUCAGUUACCAAGCAGCCAGUGCUGAAGAUCAGAACAUAUCCAGCAGCAGAGCAGCAGACCCAGCCCGAGACCCAGACCGCUCUCCCUGAACUCAGUCUCCCCGUGUCCGAAUCGGAUCCUUCUCCCACCAGUCCCCAUCUCCUCGUGUCCGAAUCGGAUCCUUCUUCCACCAAUCCCCAUUUCCUCGUGUCCGAUUCGAAUCCUUCUCCCACCAAUCCCCAUCUCAUGUCCGAAUUGGAUUCUUUUGCCAAUGAACAGAGUGGUCAGACCUGAUUGAAAUGCAGGAGAAAAAGUGUGGAACCGCUAUGACCAUGUGCUGUACCUGCAGGGGAAUCUGCUGGUAUGAAUUUUAUUGGAUCUGACCAAACACGGAGAGGGACAGAGUGGAAGGGACAGACUUUUGACGCCCCUUCACCAAAAUUUCUAUUGGUAUUGAGUUUGUAGUGAGCAUACACACAUACCUCAGACACACAGACACAGGCCCCCCUCAGUACUGUGGUGGAAAUUACCUUCAUUUCCCCCGGUUGGUAAAAAGAGUCCAGACGUACACACAAUAUUCAGUUCAGAUACCUUUAUUCAGCCGAAUAGGAGAAUCCACACAGCGCCACGUCUGUAUGAAAGCUCUCAGAACAGGUGAAAAGCCAUUCAUGUUAUACAAUUAAAAGUAGGUGAAAGGCGGGUACUGGAAUUUUCGCAAAACCUGUCUCUCAAACUGUUUUGCAGCUUGUCUCUGGUUAAAAACAUUGGAUUUCUGUGAUACAGACUUGUUUAGACAUUCUGACUUCUUCAAGGCUAUCAUGUCACAGUGACUUAAAACAAUGAAGAAAUACAGAGACAGUUUUCUGGGGAAAAUAGGAACACGCACGGGAGGGGCUAUGCAUUCCCAAUAAUUCUCAGUUAGACAGAAAAGAAAUUUAAAAUGAUUUCUUAAGGUUAUAUAAAAGCGAGUACAUAUGUAAACAGUAAUUUCUCAUUUUUCCCUUACAGUACGCUCACUAAAUUCAGUCCUCCCAUUUUUAAUUGUGCUCCUUCACUUUAGCCUAUCUAGACAAAAUGCAAAAGAUACCUCGGUACCAAAAUAGAAAUCCCAGGUGUAAAAGCCAAACUCUCCCUCUGACACACCUCCUCCAAUAAACAAAAAACCAACCUGGCACAGUUUGAGAGGAAGAGAAGGAAAUUUACUAGUUCAUUUUAAAUAUGCUUUAUUUAAUUGACAUGAUUCUCAAUAAAUACAUGGGAAGAGUAUUUCUGGAAAAAAUACAACAAACUGAUAUAAAAAUGCAAUAUUUUUUAUAUAAUAUAUAUAAAAACAAAAUUAAUCUCAAAAUAGUGCCAAAGAUCCAGUUGCCAAAGAUCCAUCAGAACUGCACUGUUGGGUCAAUCAGUUGCCACUUUGACAAAUUAGACUUUUUGUAACCAGCUCUAAACUUUAAAGUUGUUUUGAGCUUCAAUCAGCACGUUUUAUGGAAGCUACUAAGCUAGUUUUCCAACCCCUUAAAUAAUGCUUUAGGUCUUCUUCAAUCAACAUGACAGUGAAGGAUGGUCUCCACCAUUCCACAAAAAGGACAAUGACCAAAACCUUUUGGAUUAAUCACAGAAUUAAAAUAUUAACAGCAAUAGUACCAUGUAGGAUUCUCCACUGGAGAUCACCUGAUGUUCUUCAGAGGGGCUUUAUAAAAAAAAAA
Molecule: RNA transcript, 3761 nt
Organism: Anguilla anguilla (European eel)
Lineage: Eukaryota; Metazoa; Chordata; Actinopteri; Anguilliformes; Anguillidae
Exons: 5
Source: RefSeq, a predicted model, not a curated record